CUACGGGACGCAGCAGUGAGGAAUUUUGCGCAAUGGGGGGAACCCUGACGCAGCAACGCCGCGUGAGUGAUGAAGGCUUUCGGGUCGUAAAGCUCUGUCAAGUGGGAAGAACCUAUGCAGUGUUAAUAUCACUGUAUACUGACGGUACCACUGAAGGAAGCACCGGCUAACUCUGUGCCAGCAGCCGCGGUAAUACGGGGGGUGCAAGCGUUAUUCGGAAUCAUUGGGCGUAAAGGGCACGUAGGCGGCUUGGUAAGUCAGAUGUGAAAGCCCGGGGCUUAACCCCGGAAGUGCAUUUGAUACUGUCAGGCUUGAGUAUGGGAGAGGGAAGUGGAAUUCCUGGUGUAGAGGUGAAAUUCGUAGAUAUCAGGAGGAACACCGGUGGCGAAGGCGACUUCCUGGACCAAUACUGACGCUGAGGUGCGAAGGCGUGGGUAGCAAACAGGAUUAGAUACCCCUGUAGUC
This 465-nucleotide ribosomal RNA is filed under the name uncultured bacterium. Its description in RNAcentral is "partial 16S ribosomal RNA". It matches the Rfam family "Bacterial small subunit ribosomal RNA", at positions 339 to 795 of the family's 1533-position model. The record is from RNAcentral.